RNAcentral lists this transfer RNA (71 nucleotides) under Marmota monax (woodchuck). RNAcentral's name for it is "tRNA.Ala". It matches the Rfam family "tRNA". Rfam says of the family: Transfer RNA (tRNA) molecules are approximately 80 nucleotides in length. Their secondary structure includes four short double-helical elements and three loops (D, anti-codon, and T loops). The record is from RNAcentral. Lineage: Eukaryota; Metazoa; Chordata; Mammalia; Rodentia; Sciuridae.
GGGGUUGUGGCUCAGUGGUAGAGCGCUUGCCUAGCAUGUGUGAGGCCCUGAGUUCGAUCCUCAGCACCACA